GGCAUUCAUAAUCCCAAUCUGGGCCCGUGUACCUUACACAGUGUAGCCAUAAUCCUUCCUCAUGCCCAUCAUACCUGCCAUAAACACAAUAAUGAUCAUAGAUGGUUGAAACUGCAGAGAUGUGAGAUUCUUUACUUAAAAUAUUUUAU
Hibiscus syriacus is the source of this 149-nucleotide long non-coding RNA. RefSeq lists it as uncharacterized. The transcript has 3 exons. The record is from RefSeq and is a predicted model, not a curated record. NCBI's taxonomy places the organism in Eukaryota, Viridiplantae, Streptophyta, Magnoliopsida, Malvales, Malvaceae.